RNAcentral lists this ribosomal RNA (468 nucleotides) under uncultured bacterium. RNAcentral's name for it is "partial 16S ribosomal RNA". It matches the Rfam family "Bacterial small subunit ribosomal RNA", at positions 28 to 507 of the family's 1533-position model. The record is from RNAcentral.
GACGAACGCUGGCGGCGUGCUUAACACAUGCAAGUCGAACGGAAAGACCCUGCUUUUGUGGGGUGCUCGAGUGGCGAACGGGUGAGUAACACGUGAGUAACCUGCCCUUGACUUUGGGAUAACUUCAGGAAACUGGGGCUAAUACCGGAUAGGAGCUCCUGCUGCAUGGUGGGGGUGGGAAAGUUUCGGCGGUUGGGGUUGGACUCGCGGCUUAUCAGCUUGUUGGUGGGGUAGUGGCUUACCAAGGCUUUGACGGGUAGCCGGCCUGAGAGGGUGACCGGCCACAUUGGGACUGAGAUACGGCCCAGACUCCUACGGGAGGCAGCAGUGGGGAAUAUUGCACAAUGGGCGGAAGCCUGAUGCAGCAACGCCGCGUGCGGGAUGACGGCCUUCGGGUUGUAAACCGCUUUCGCCUGUGACGAAGCGUGAGUGACGGUAAUGGGUAAAGAAGCACCGGCUAACUACGUG